AACCUAGUACGAGAGGAACCG
RNAcentral lists this small nuclear RNA (21 nucleotides) under Arabidopsis thaliana (thale cress). Its description in RNAcentral is "snRNA_13239". The record is from RNAcentral. Lineage: Eukaryota; Viridiplantae; Streptophyta; Magnoliopsida; Brassicales; Brassicaceae.